GUCUGUUUUGACAGGGCGCUGAUUGGUGUGU
Molecule: non-coding RNA, 31 nt
Filed under: Homo sapiens (human)
Lineage: Eukaryota; Metazoa; Chordata; Mammalia; Primates; Hominidae
Source: RNAcentral